RNAcentral lists this small nuclear RNA (107 nucleotides) under Mus spretus (western wild mouse). The record is from RNAcentral. Lineage: Eukaryota; Metazoa; Chordata; Mammalia; Rodentia; Muridae.
GUGCUCACUUAGGCAGCACAUAUACUAAAAUUGGAAUGAUAUAGAGAAUAUUAGCAUGACCCCUGCACAAGGAUGACAUGCAAAUUCGUGAAGUGUUGCAUAUUUCU